AAACUUUCAACAACGGAUCUCUUGGUUCUGGCAUCGAUGAAGAACGCAUCGAAAUGCGAUAAGUAAUGUGAAUUGCAGAAUUCAGUGAAUCAUCGAAUCUUUGAACGCACAUUGCGCCCUUUGGUAUUCCGAAGGGCAUGCCUGUUCGAGCGUCAUUA
Molecule: ribosomal RNA, 158 nt
Filed under: Caloplaca australis
Lineage: Eukaryota; Fungi; Ascomycota; Lecanoromycetes; Teloschistales; Teloschistaceae
Description: 5.8S ribosomal RNA
Rfam family: 5.8S ribosomal RNA
About the family: 5.8S ribosomal RNA (5.8S rRNA) is a component of the large subunit of the eukaryotic ribosome. It is transcribed by RNA polymerase I as part of the 45S precursor that also contains 18S and 28S rRNA. Functionally, it is thought that 5.8S rRNA may be involved in ribosome translocation.
Source: RNAcentral